This 506-nucleotide ribosomal RNA is filed under the name uncultured bacterium. Its description in RNAcentral is "partial 16S ribosomal RNA". It matches the Rfam family "Bacterial small subunit ribosomal RNA", at positions 28 to 523 of the family's 1533-position model. The record is from RNAcentral.
GAUGAACGCUAGCUACAGGCUUAACACAUGCAAGUCGAGGGGUAACGAGAGGGAAGCUUGCUUUCCUUGUCGACGACCGGCGCACGGGUGAGUAACGCGUAUCCAACCUGCCCCCAACUAGGGAAUAACCUUGCGAAAGUAAGACUAAUACCCUAUAAUUUCCUCAGAUGUCAUCUGACGAGGAAUAAAGAUUUAUCGGUUGUGGAUGGGGAUGCGUCUGAUUAGCUUGUUGGCGGGGUAACGGCCCACCAAGGCAACGGACAGUAGGGGUUCUGAGAGGAAGGUCCCCCACAUUGGAACUGAGACACGGUCCAAACUCCUACGGGAGGCAGCAGUGAGGAAUAUUGGUCAAUGGGCGGAAGCCUGAACCAGCCAAGUAGCGUGCAGGAUGACGGCCCUAUGGGUUGUAAACUGCUUUUAUACAGGAAUAAAGUUAGCCACGUGUGGUUAUUUGUAGGUACUGUAUGAAUAGGGACCGGCUAAUUCCGUGCCAGCCGCCGCGGUAA